This 91-nucleotide transfer RNA is filed under the name Camelus bactrianus (Bactrian camel). It matches the Rfam family "tRNA". From Rfam's summary of the family: Transfer RNA (tRNA) molecules are approximately 80 nucleotides in length. Their secondary structure includes four short double-helical elements and three loops (D, anti-codon, and T loops). The record is from Rfam by way of RNAcentral. RNAcentral also lists the same sequence under 2 other names. Lineage: Eukaryota; Metazoa; Chordata; Mammalia; Artiodactyla; Camelidae.
GAGGGUAUAGCUCAGUGGUAGAGUGCGUGCUUAGCAUGCAUGAGGUCUCUUAGGAUGCAUGAGGUCCUGGGUUCAAUCCCCAGUACCUCCA